Molecule: unclassified non-coding RNA, 376 nt
Filed under: uncultured Actinomycetes bacterium
Lineage: Bacteria; Bacillati; Actinomycetota; Actinomycetes
Description: uncultured actinobacterium contains 16S-23S intergenic spacer region
Source: RNAcentral
UCCGGCUUGUCACCGGCAGUUCCCCUAGAGUGCCCGGCCGAACCGAUGGCAACAUAGGACGAGGGUUGCGCUCGUUGCGGGACUUAACCCAACAUCUCACGACACGAGCUGACGACAGCCAUGCACCACCUGUGCACGGCCCUUACGGACCCGACAUCUCUGCCGGAUUUCCGUGCAUGUCAAACCCAGGUAAGGUUCUUCGCGUUGCAUCGAAUUAAUCCGCAUGCUCCGCCGCUUGUGCGGGCCCCCGUCAAUUCCCUUGAGUUUUAGCCUUGCGGCCGUACUCCCAGGCGGGGUGCUUAAUGCGUUAGCUUCGGCACGGAGAGGGUUGAAGACCUCCCCACACCUAGCACCCAACGUUUACGGCUGGGACUAC